RNAcentral lists this ribosomal RNA (440 nucleotides) under Vibrio neocaledonicus. Its description in RNAcentral is "bacterial SSU rRNA". It matches the Rfam family "Bacterial small subunit ribosomal RNA", at positions 71 to 496 of the family's 1533-position model. Lineage: Bacteria; Pseudomonadati; Pseudomonadota; Gammaproteobacteria; Vibrionales; Vibrionaceae. The record is from RNAcentral.
UUAUCUGAACCUUCGGGGAACGAUAACGGCGUCGAGCGGCGGACGGGUGAGUAAUGCCUAGGAAAUUGCCCUGAUGUGGGGGAUAACCAUUGGAAACGAUGGCUAAUACCGCAUGAUGCCUACGGGCCAAAGAGGGGGACCUUCGGGCCUCUCGCGUCAGGAUAUGCCUAGGUGGGAUUAGCUAGUUGGUGAGGUAAGGGCUCACCAAGGCGACGAUCCCUAGCUGGUCUGAGAGGAUGAUCAGCCACACUGGAACUGAGACACGGUCCAGACUCCUACGGGAGGCAGCAGUGGGGAAUAUUGCACAAUGGGCGCAAGCCUGAUGCAGCCAUGCCGCGUGUGUGAAGAAGGCCUUCGGGUUGUAAAGCACUUUCAGUCGUGAGGAAGGUGGUGUAGUUAAUAGCUGCAUUAUUUGACGUUAGCGACAGAAGAAGCACCGG